Molecule: ribosomal RNA, 366 nt
Filed under: uncultured organism
Description: bacterial SSU rRNA
Rfam family: Bacterial small subunit ribosomal RNA
Source: RNAcentral
CGGAGGAUCCAAGCGUUAUCCGGAAUCAUUGGGUUUAAAGGGUCCGUAGGCGGUCCUGUAAGUCAGUGGUGAAAGCCCAUCGCUCAACGGUGGAACGGCCAUUGAUACUGCAGGACUUGAAUUACUGGGAAGCAACUAGAAUAUGUAGUGUAGCGGUGAAAUGCUUAGAGAUUACAUGGAAUACCAAUUGCGAAGGCAGGUUGCUACCGGUGGAUUGACGCUGAUGGACGAAAGCGUGGGUAGCGAACAGGAUUAGAUACCCUGGUAGUCCACGCCGUAAACGAUGGAUACUAGCUGUUGGGAGCGAUCUCAGUGGCCAAGCGAAAGUGAUAAGUAUCCCACCUGGGGAGUACGAACGCAAGUUUG